This 779-nucleotide ribosomal RNA is filed under the name uncultured bacterium. RNAcentral describes it as "bacterial SSU rRNA". It matches the Rfam family "Bacterial small subunit ribosomal RNA", at positions 669 to 1447 of the family's 1533-position model. The record is from RNAcentral.
CCAUGUGUAGCGGUGAAAUGCGUAGAUAUAUGGAGGAACACCAGUGGCGAAAGCGGCUCUCUGGUCUGUCACUGACGCUGAGGCUCGAAAGCGUGGGUAGCGAACAGGAUUAGAUACCCUGGUAGUNCACGCCGUAAACGAUGAGUGCUAGGUGUUAGGCCCUUUCCGGGGCUUAGUGCCGGAGCUAACGCAAUAAGCACUCCGCUUGGGGAGUACGACCGCAAGGUUGAAACUCAAAGGAAUUGACGGGGGCCCGCACAAGCGGUGGAGCAUGUGGUUUAAUUCGAAGCAACGCGAAGAACCUUACCAGGUCUUGACAUCCCGAUGCUAUUCUUAGAGAUAGGAAGUUACUUCGGUACAUCGGAGACAGGUGGUGCAUGGUUGUCGUCAGCUCGUGUCGUGAGAUGUUGGGUUAAGUCCCGCAGCGAGCGCAACCCUUAUUGUUAGUUGCCAUCAUUAAGUUGGGCACUCUAGCGAGACUGCCGGUAAUAAACCGGAGGAAGGUGGGGAUGACGUCAAAUCAUCAUGCCCCUUAUGACCUGGGCUACACACGUGCUACAAUGGUCGGUACAACGAGUUGCGAGCCGGUGACGGCAAGCUAAUCUCUGAAAGCCGAUCUCAGUUCGGAUUGGAGGCUGCAACUCGCCUCCAUGAAGUCGGAAUCGCUAGUAAUCGCGGAUCAGCACGCCGCGGUGAAUACGUUCCCGGGCCUUGUACACACCGCCCGUCACACCACGAGAGUUUGUAACACCCGAAGUCGGUGAGGUANCCUUUUAGGG